This 2037-nucleotide long non-coding RNA is filed under the name Brachypodium distachyon (stiff brome). RNAcentral describes it as "long non-coding RNA (BDIS_LNC004159)". Lineage: Eukaryota; Viridiplantae; Streptophyta; Magnoliopsida; Poales; Poaceae. The record is from RNAcentral.
CCGCAUCCUCACCGCGCUCCUGCCUCCCCUCUCUUGCUCUCUCUCCGCGCGAGCUCGCCACCGACCGCCGUGGCCCCUGCAGGUCACCGCGCCGUCGACCUCCCUUCCUCGCGCCCCCGCCUCCCCUCUCUUUCUCUCUCCCCGCACGAGCUCUUCACCGGCCGCCGUAGCCCCUUCAGGUCGUCGCGCCGUCGACCUCCCUUCCUCGCGCCAUCCUCCUCCCCGCCUCAGAUCUGCGGCGGCAGGUUGCGGGUUUGGCGGCGGCGGCCCUGUGCGGACGUGGCCGCGGCAGGCUUCGAUUUGCUUCGUCUGCUUCGAUCUGGUACCUCCAAAAUCUGAGGUAUAAACUAUAAAGAACAGCUAAAAAAUGCCAGGACUGCUUCGUCUGCUUCGAUCUGGUACCUUCAAAUGUGGAUUUAGAUGCUGCUAGUACGAAGUCAGUUGCUUUUGAUGGCUGGUGUAUCACAUUGUAUACUGUUGCACUCUCAAAGGCACAGAUUGUACUCCGAGAUCAUGUUAAGCAAGCUGUUCCAUGAACCUGGGAACCGGCUGCUUUGGCAAGGUUAGAUGCUCAUUUUAGUUCAAACAUACCUUAGAGGCUAAAACCAUGUGGCUAAUGAAAUAAGAUAAGCCUCUGUAUUUUACUCCUUCAAUGAAGUCCAAAUAGUCUAGUUUCUACUACCAUUUCUCUGAACUGUUUUAUUUCUUAAUGAUACAAUCAUGGUUGAUGGAUGGAUAAGCCUCUGUGCUUCUAUUAAGUUUUGCGGGAACUGAAAUACCCUCCUUCCCCUUUGAAUAACUGAGACAUCCAAACAACCGUUUAUGGUUUUGGCAUUGUGGUAAACAUUACUCUAGUAGUAGUAGUUUGUACUUUACCUGUUUUAUUAGCCUUGACAAAUUCUUUUGGUUCUGAAAUCUGAAGUUUUACCUAUCACAUUUGUUUGUUAACUUCUAUUUAAACUAUUGGUGUUAUUCUAUGCAUAGUUCCUAGUUAUAUUAGAUGCAAAUGUCUUUAUAGAUAUAUCUUUCUAAAAAAUACAUGGCAUAUAUAGUUUGCUACUUUAUUUUGCACUGACAAAAGCAAGCUGGUUUAUGAGCAGCCUGCAUAGUUGUUUCUAUCCGUGAACAUCUUUCUGAGGUUAGGUAUAUUGUCCCCUGCUAUUUGUUGUUUACAAAUUAAUGAAAAUUGCUUUGACUUUUUUGUUGAGUAAGGGCACCAAGUUUUUGUCUUUCAUCUAUAAGGUCAUUUGUUGGCAAAUAUAUGAAUUUUGCAGAUUGCUAGUCAAAGUAUUUCUGCUAUGAGAGAAGCUAAAGUUUCAAAGAGAAGGCGAGCACCAGAAUUUGCUUCAAAUAGGUUCAUGCUAGUGUCUAGUGUUAUUUUAGUUUUGGAUAUUCAGUUUUUGUUUUGAAUCUUAUGUUUUUAGUGGAGCUGCAGGACUAAAACCAUUAUUAACUACAACUUGUUCUAAUUUUGCCAAAUUGAUGUGAUCAUGGAUUUUGCAGUAAAGCAAUGAACAAUGCAGUGGACAUGUUCAAGUAUUUCGGCGGCAAAUGAAGUGUCAUCCAGUAAGAUCUGUUCGGUCACAAGCUUCUAUACAAUAAUGUCUUGUAUAAUUUGGUUCUAUUGUACGGAGUACCAUUUAUUCUCCACUUGUAGGGACUAAGGCAGGAAUUUGUUGCAACUCAAGUGUUUGUUUUACUGAAUCGCUACCACAACGCUGAUAAAGUUUCUAGUCCAUGCAAGUUAUGAAGACUAAAUAGUAAGGCCAAGUUGUCAAAGCUUCUCAGUUGAUUUAUUUGUUUUCUGCUUUCAAGUUUAAAUAAAUCUAGGUUGUCCUGAUCUUUCGAUUUCCUGUACUGAGAAAUGCUCAUGUAUUGUACCGCUCUGAUGGCAUGAAAAAUACUAGCCUUGAGCUUAUGUAUUGUACUGGUUCGAUGUACAUGAAAAAUAUUAGCCAUGAGUAACAACAAUUAUUUUGUUUUGAUGUAAAUAUGGGCUGAAUAUGAAUGUGGGCUGUAUUCUGGACCAAAAGAGGC